RNAcentral lists this ribosomal RNA (292 nucleotides) under uncultured bacterium. Its description in RNAcentral is "partial 16S ribosomal RNA". It matches the Rfam family "Bacterial small subunit ribosomal RNA", at positions 505 to 796 of the family's 1533-position model. The record is from RNAcentral.
GUGCCAGCCGCCGCGGUAAGACGAACCGUGCGAACGUUGUUCGGAAUAACUGGGCUUAAAGGGAGCGUAGGCGGGCUAACAAGUCUGGGGUGAAAUCCCGCGGCUCAACCGUGGAACUGCCUCAGAUACUGUCGGCCUCGAGGGAGAUAGGGGCAUGCGGAACUAACGGUGGAGCGGUGAAAUGCGUUGAUAUCGUUAGGAACUCCGGUGGCGAAAGCGGCGUGCUGGAUCUCUUCUGACGCUGAGGCUCGAAAGCUAGGGGAGCAAACGGGAUUAGAAACCCUGGUAGUCC